GGGGCUAUCUCAGCUGGGAGAGCGCCUGCUUUGCACGCAGGAGGUCUGCGGUUCGAUCCGCAUAGCUCCACCA
Molecule: transfer RNA, 73 nt
Filed under: Klebsiella pneumoniae
Lineage: Bacteria; Pseudomonadati; Pseudomonadota; Gammaproteobacteria; Enterobacterales; Enterobacteriaceae
Description: tRNA-Ala
Rfam family: tRNA
About the family: Transfer RNA (tRNA) molecules are approximately 80 nucleotides in length.
Source: RNAcentral